CAGGUUUUGAUAAAUCUCCCCAAAUAUUGAUAAAUGUCCCCCUCAUACCCUUUUGCUAUGACAAUUGAAAUGAAUCUCCGGGGUCUCCCAAUUCUCUUGAUCAUUUCUGAGAUGUUUCUACACCUUGGUUGGAGUCUCCUGUGUUACCUACAUGUCAAUGAGCAGCAAUGAGGGAUGAAAAACAUUCACAACUUGGACAUAAGAAGGAAUGUUUCACAUUGUGCCCCACAGAAAAAUACACAAACUUCCUGUCUAUGUACAGCUGUCAGUUGUAUGAAUGCGCAUUUAUACAAUCACUUUUGAACAUGCCACUUUCAACACAGUUUGGAAAAUAUUGAGAAGCGUCAAAAAGGAAAAUUCAAUGUUCAGUUCCCUUAUGAAGAAAUGAAACAAUAAGAGAAAAUGUCAAGAAGCCCGCUCAUAGGCCAGUAUGUGUCAUUCCUGGCUUUUAUAUAAAAAGGAAAAGUACACUUUCAAAACCGUUUUACUGUUCCGAUGUGUCCAAAAUAAAAAUAAAAUAAACUACUUUGCAAAUGGAUUGAAAACAUUUUACAAUUUGUUCUACAGCUGCUUUUUAAACCUAUUUGUACUCAUGGUUACAGACUGCAAACAAAUCUUGUGUCUAGUCUGAUCCUGCAGUUCUUCUCCCUUUUCUCCAUCUCCCACUACCUUCAAGAGUUAUAUAUUCCUAAAAGGUUUAUUCCACAAUAGCGUGCACUCCAUAGUAUGUCCAGCGUGGAGGUUCAAGCAAUUCUUAGAAGUUUAUUCAGCAAUUAGCCAACAUGAGAAACAUGUUUCUCAUGUUGGCUAAUUGCUGAAUAAACUUCUAAGAAUUGCUUGAACCUCCACGCUGGACAUUGCCUUUUGUCUUUGCUGCUACUCUGGAUCGAGGGUCCGGUCCUAGUCUCGUGUCGUGGAGUGGGCGAGAGGGAGAGCUGUGUCUACCAUUGUUUGCUUCACACUCCAUAGUAUGUAUGAAAACAAGGAUUGUGUCCAUACAAAGUGUUUUAAAAUAAGAUAUCAUGAUGUACAUUUAAAGGCUUGUGCCCCUGAUGCUAACUUGAGUAUUGAACAUGUCACCAUUUUUCUCAACAAAUAUAUUUCCAAAGGUCCUAUUGCCAUUAAAUUGUCCCCAUAUGAUGGAAACAACCAAAGUAAUCCAUACGUACAAAGAAACCAUAACAAAUAAGAAAUUAAGUAAAUGUGUAAUGUGAAAUGACACAGGAGAAAAAAAGUACUGAACACAUCUAUUAGCACGGACAAUCCAGCCCCUUGUCUGUGCGAAUUAAUACCAGCUGGUUCAGUCCCAACUGAUGGCCUACAAAAAGGUCUUAUUGCCAAGAUGUCACACAAGACCUCUCAUGAUGGGUAAAAGCAAAAAGCGGUCUCCUAAUUGUUGCAAAACAUAAAAUGUGCCUAUAACCAACGUCAUUGUUAAGCUUUUGAAGGCUCCAGUGAGCACUGUUGGUGCCAUAAAAUGGAAGUGGAAAGACAAUCAUUUCACCAUAAAUUUGCCUAAACCAGGUGCUCCUCGCAGGAAUUCUGACAAAGGAGUGAAGAGCCAAGGACCAAUUGUGGAGAGCUUCAAAAAGCAAUUAGCAAACAGUAAGUACUGCACUCUACCGCCACCGUAUGCGUGUUCACCACACAAAGCCCCACUGCUGAAUAACCAGCAUGGUAAGACUUUUUUGAAGUUUGCUUGCUGCACAACAUUUGGAAAAGCAAGUGAAAUAUUGGAUGUAUAUAGUAUGGUCAGAGGAGAGCAAAAUUUAAAUUUAUUGAAUGCCAUAAUACACAUCACGUUUGGAAGAGAAAUUGCCAUGCACAUCACCCAAAAAACAGCUCACCAACAGUGAAGUUUGGAGGUGGGAACAUCAUGGUGUGGGGCAGCUUUUCAGUAAAUGGUACCCACAAUAAUUGAAUUAAUGAUAAAUGGACACAUUUACUGAGACAUUCUUGACAAAAAUCUGCUGCAAUCUACCAGGAUGAUGAAGAUGAAACGAGGGUGGACAUUUCAACAAGACAAUGAUCCCAAACACACAGCCAAGGAAACUCAAAUGGUUUCAAAAAAAUUAAAUCCCAUUGAAAAUCUAUGGAAACAACUGAAGGUCAUGAUUCAUAAGAGGCCCACAGAACCUUCAAAUUUGAAGACUGAGUAGAAAAAUGGUCCAAUAUCUCUCCAAAGCAAUGUAUGCGACUAGUUUCUCCAUACAGGAGGCUUCUUGAAGCGGUCAUUACCAAAGAAGGCUACAAAGUAUUAAAUAAAUAUCAGUAAGCUUGUUCACUUUUCUACCUGUGACAUAUCACAUUAUUACACAUAAAUUCUGAACUUAUUUCUUUUGGUUUCUUUGUAUGGAUUACUUUGGUUGUUACUAACAUCAGGUGAAUUUUAUGUCAAUAGCACCUUUGGAAAUAUAUUUAGUUAAAAAAAAAUGGUGACAUGUUAAAUACUUAUUUUACCCAUUGAAUAUGUCAAAUGUACAUGUAGUACUUGUCAGGGGUUCAUAUUCCCCUUUUUCGUGCCUGUGGUGUUGAGCCUCUCCCACGAUGAUGAGUGCUUAAGACAAUGGCUGAUCACAGGGGGCUCGGCUUCUCGUUGUACCCGACAACCCAGCCCCUGAUGACAUAUGCAGCCUAUCCAUACGUUCCGACAGGUGCGUUGAACCAGUCCAUGCUUUCUGCAGAAUGUGCAGUUGUCUGAUGCAGCACAGGAUCCUGGAAAAGGCUUGGGAUGAUAGUUCAGAGGAAUGCUGAAACUGAGGGGGCAUACAAAUACUUACCAGGAAACGAUCCACCAAUGACAGGUACUACCUGUACAUUACACAUACCUAAACUUGGAAUCGGGAGCACAUACCUUAAAACAUACAAAAAAGCUGGAAUACCCCUUGAAGAUAGAAUUAGGGGACAAUUGGAAGACAGUAUGACUGCAGGUUCUGACUACAAAGGGUGGGCCAGUGUACUAUGACUAUACAGAUGUGCAUGGGAGCUGCAGUUGCAAAAUGAUAGACUUUUUACAAUCUGUAUUUUUUUUUCUUAUUUCAAAUCCACUGGAGCUAUAAAGAAAUGGUUCUGUUUAUACAUCCUCACGAUAUUUUGAACGUACCCUGAAAGUGUAGCUUCUUCUUUAAAGGAGUUAUCCAUCAAUAUAUUUUAAAACCUACAUGUGGCCAUGCUGGGCUAAAUAAAUUGAAAAAAAUCCUGUCCUGAACAUUACAAAU
Long non-coding RNA from Hyla sarda, 3218 nucleotides. RefSeq lists it as uncharacterized. The transcript has 3 exons. The record is from RefSeq and is a predicted model, not a curated record. NCBI's taxonomy places the organism in Eukaryota, Metazoa, Chordata, Amphibia, Anura, Hylidae.